Molecule: long non-coding RNA, 485 nt
Filed under: Marmota monax (woodchuck)
Lineage: Eukaryota; Metazoa; Chordata; Mammalia; Rodentia; Sciuridae
Source: RNAcentral
CGUGGCUGGUGCCAUCUCCAGGCGUGUGGUCCAGUGCACCAACACCCCACCCCCCCGUGGCUGCCAGCAAGCACCUAUCCACCCGCAGGACCUUCCCACUGUCCCUGACUGAUGCUGUCCCCACUCGGCACCAGCUCCCCACCCGUCCCCUGCCCCUGGCAACCCAUCCUACCCUCCUACUCUCUGGAUCGGCCACUCUAGGUACCUCGCGUAAGUGAAGUCACUCAGCGUUUGUCCUUGGUGACGGGCUGAUUUCAGUUAGCUUGAUGUCUCCAGGGUUCCUCCACAGUUUGUCAGCGUUUCCUUUCUCUUUCUGGGUACAGGACAUUUAUCCCUUCAUUCACCCAUGGACACUGGUGGCUCCUGCCCCUCGGCUGUUGUGAGCCAGGCUGCUCUGAACUUGGGGUGCAGCCCUCUGUCUCUCAGAGGCCUGCUUCCCCUUCUCCUGUGUGUGACCAUGUUCUCCCCACGUGUGUGCUUCCGUG